UUUUUUUUAAUAAAAAAAAAAAAAAAAUAUUAUUGAUGUAGAAGUUCGGGACGAGGAAGAGGUCCUAUCCCCAUCCACUCCAUAUCAAGAUACAAAGGUCAAAGAAGAGUCAAAAACAGUUAUUAGGAUGCAGGACAGAGUUGCCAUCCUUGUGUUCAUACUAGCUUUUUCCCUCCUAAAAUACACUGUAUACAGGACCUUAAAUGGAAAAACAAUCCAUAAAUAAGGCACAUGUUUCCAGCC
Molecule: unclassified non-coding RNA, 243 nt
Filed under: Hevea brasiliensis (rubber tree)
Lineage: Eukaryota; Viridiplantae; Streptophyta; Magnoliopsida; Malpighiales; Euphorbiaceae
Source: RNAcentral